UACGGAGGGUCCAAGCGUUAUCCGGAUUUAUUGGGUUUAAAGGGUGCGUAGGCGGAAUAUUAAGUCCGUGGUGAAAUCCUACAGCUUAACUGUAGAACUGCCAUGGAUACUGAUUUUCUUGAAUAUAGCUGAAGUGGGCGGAAUGUGUCAUGUAGCGGUGAAAUGCAUAGAUAUGACACAGAACACCAAUUGCGAAGGCAGCUCACUAAACUAUUAUUGACGCUGAGGCACGAAAGCGUGGGGAGCGAACAGG
Molecule: ribosomal RNA, 253 nt
Filed under: uncultured bacterium
Lineage: Bacteria
Description: partial 16S ribosomal RNA
Rfam family: Bacterial small subunit ribosomal RNA
Source: RNAcentral